Molecule: ribosomal RNA, 523 nt
Filed under: uncultured bacterium
Lineage: Bacteria
Description: bacterial LSU rRNA
Rfam family: Bacterial large subunit ribosomal RNA
Source: RNAcentral
AAACGAAGUGGGAAGGCACAGACAGCCAGGAGGUUGGCUUAGAAGCAGCCAUCCUUUAAAGAAAGCGUAAUAGCUCACUGGUCGAGUCGUCCUGCGCGGAAGAUGUAACGGGGCUCAAACUAUGCACCGAAAUCGCGGAUAUGCGUAAGCAUAUGGUAGGAGAGCGUUCUGUAGGCCUGCGAAGGUGUCUCGUAAGGGAUGCUGGAGGUAUCAGAAGUGCGAAUGCUGACAUGAGUAGCGAUAAAGCGGGUGAAAGGCCCGCUCGCCGAAAGCCCAAGGUUUCCUGCGCAACGUUCAUCGGCGCAGGGUGAGUCGGCCCCUAAGGCGAGGCUGAAAAGCGUAGUCGAUGGGAAACAGGUUAAUAUUCCUGUACCUCUUUGUAAUGCGAUGGGGGGACGGAGAAGGUUAGGUCAGCCGGGUGUUGGACGUCCCGGUUUAAGCGUGUAGUCGUGCCUGGUAGGCAAAUCCGCCGGGCUUAGAUGAGGCGUGACGACGAGUGGUCUUUGACCGCGAAGUGAUUGAU